This 28-nucleotide non-coding RNA is filed under the name Homo sapiens (human). The record is from RNAcentral. Lineage: Eukaryota; Metazoa; Chordata; Mammalia; Primates; Hominidae.
UGUCAGACAGUGGGGACAAGGUGGCCGU